GAACUUAAGCAUAUCAAUAAGCGGAGGAAAAGAAACCAACAGGGAUUGCUCAGUAACGGCGAGUGAAGCGGCAACAGCUCAAAUUUGAAAUCUGGCUCUUUUAGAGCCCGAGUUGUAAUUUGUAGAGGAUGCUUCGGCGUCGGCUCCGGUCUAAGUUCCUUGGAACAGGACGUCAUAGAGGGUGAGAAUCCCGUAUGUGAUCGGUUGCCUUUGCCAUGUGAAGCUCCUUCGACGAGUCGAGUUGUUUGGGAAUGCAGCUCUAAAUGGGAGGUAAAUUUCUUCUAAAGCUAAAUACUGGCCAGAGACCGAUAGCGCACAAGUAGAGUGAUCGAAAGAUGAAAAGCACUUUGGAAAGAGAGUCAAAAAGUACGUGAAAUUGUUGAAAGGGAAGCGCUUGCAACCAGACCUGCCUGCAGUUGCUCAUCCGGGCUUUUGCCCGGUGCACUCUUCUGCUGUCAGGCCAGCAUCAGUUCGGGCGGUCGGAUAAAGGCUUCGGGAAUGUAACUCCUCUUGGGGAGUGUUAUAGCCCGUUGCGAAAUGCGGCCAGCCUGGACUGAGGUCCGCGCUUCGGCUAGGAUGCUGGCGUAAUGGUUGUAAGCGGCCCGUCUUGAAACACGGACCAAGGAGUCUAACAUCUGUGCGAGUGUUUGGGUGUUAAACCCGUACGCGUAAUGAAAGUGAACGGAGGCGGGAACCCCUCGGGGUGCACCGUCGACCGAUCCUGAUGUCUUCGGAUGGAUUUGAGUAAGAGCAUAGCUGUUGGGACCCGAAA
This 772-nucleotide ribosomal RNA is filed under the name uncultured fungus. RNAcentral describes it as "eukaryotic LSU rRNA". It matches the Rfam family "Eukaryotic large subunit ribosomal RNA", at positions 30 to 821 of the family's 3401-position model. Lineage: Eukaryota; Fungi. The record is from RNAcentral.